Molecule: ribosomal RNA, 587 nt
Filed under: uncultured bacterium
Lineage: Bacteria
Description: bacterial SSU rRNA
Rfam family: Bacterial small subunit ribosomal RNA
Source: RNAcentral
ACGGGUGAGUAACACGUAGGUAACCUGCCUAUGAGACUGGGAUAACUAUCGGAAACGAUAGCUAAGACCGGAUAACUGGUUUUCUCGCAUGAGAGAAUCAUGAAACACGGAGCAAUCUGUGGCUUAUAGAUGGGCCUGCGGCGCAUUAGCUAGUUGGUAGGGUAAUGGCCUACCAAGGCGACGAUGCGUAGCCGACCUGAGAGGGUGAACGGCCACACUGGGACUGAGACACGGCCCAGACUCCUACGGGAGGCAGCAGUAGGGAAUCUUCCGCAAUGGACGCAAGUCUGACGGAGCAACGCCGCGUGAGUGAUGAAGGUUUUCGGAUCGUAAAGCUCUGUUGCCCUAGACGAACAGCAAGGAGAGUAACUGCUCUUUGUGUGACGGUAUAGGAGAAGAAAGCCCCGGCUAACUACGUGCCAGCAGCCGCGGUAAUACGUAGGGGGCAAGCGUUGUCCGGAAUUAUUGGGCGUAAAGCGCGCGCAGGCGGUCAAUUAAGUUGGGUGUUUAAGCCCGGGGCUCAACCCCGGUUCGCAUCCAAAACUGGUUGACUUGAGUGUAGGAGAGGAAAGUGGAAUUCCACGUGU